GAUCAAGUAAUUAAGGGCUUACGGUGGAUACCUAGGCAUUCAGAAGCGAUGAAGGGCGCGGAAAUCAGCGAAAUGCUUCGGGGAGCUGACACUCAAGCUUUGAUCCGGAGGUCCCCGAAUGAGGAAACUCCUUGUACUAUCUGUUGAAUCCAUAGACAGAUCAAGAGCAAACUCGGUGAACUGAAACAUCUUAGUAACCGAAGGAAAAGAAAGCAAACGCGAUUCUCUAAGUAGCGGCGAGCGAAAGGGGAGAAGCCUAAACUAUUAACUUAUUGUUAAUAGGGUUGUGGGACAACAUUAAGGUAUAGAGCGAAUUAGGUGAAGCAACUGAAUAUUGCACCAUAGAGGGUGAAAGUCCCGUAUCCGAAAAUUCUAACUAACCAGUUGUAUCCCGAGUAGCAUGGGACACGUGAAAUCCCGUGUGAAUCUGCGAGGACCACCUCGUAAGGCUAAAUAUUCCUGGAUGACCGAUAGCGUAACAGUACCGUGAGGGAAAGGUGAAAAAGAACCCCGGGAGGGGAGUGAAAUAGAACAUGAAACCGUAAGCCUACAAGCAGUAGAAGGACGACUUAACGUCUGACUGCGUGCCUGUUGAAGAAUGAGCCGGCGACUUAUAGGUAGUGGCAGGUUAAGGUAAGCGAUUACUGGAGCCCUAGCAAAAGCGAGUUUGAACAGAGCGUUUUGUCACUAUCUAUAAACCCGAACCCGGGUGAUCUAACCAUGGCCAGGGUGAAGCUUGGGUAAAACUAAGUGGAGGCCCGAACUGAUCGAUGUUGAAAAAUCGUCGGAUGAGUUGUGGUUAGCGGUGAAAUGCCAAUCGAACCCGGAGCUAGCUGGUUCUCCCCGAAAUGUGUUGAGGCGCAGCGGUUAAGAUUAUAACUUAGGGGUAAAGCACUGUUUCGGUGCGGGCUGCGAGAGCGGUACCAAAUCGAUGCAAACUAAGAAUACUAAGCGAAUACUUAACCAGUUAGACAGUGGGGGAUAAGCUCCAUUGUCAAGAGGGAAACAGCCCAGACCACCAGUUAAGGCCCCAAAAUAAUAGCUAAGUGGUAAAGGAGGUGGGAGUGCUUAGACAACCAGGAGGUUUGCCUAGAAGCAGCAAUCCUUUAAAGAGUGCGUAAUAGCUCACUGGUCAAGCGCUCUUGCGCCGAAAAUGAAAGGGACUAAGCUAUUUGCCGAAGCUGUGGGAUGUGAUAAAUGCAUUCGAUAAAAAUUCUUAUACGAUAUGUGAUUUAUACAUCGGUAGGGGAGCGUUCCGUUAUAGGGUGAAGCACGAGCGUGAGAGCGUGUGGACGAAACGGAAGUGAGAAUGUCGGCUUGAGUAGCGAAAACAUUGGUGAAAAUCCAAUGCCCCGAAAACCCAAGGGUUCCUCCGCAAGGCUCGUCCACGGAGGGUUAGUCAGGACCUAAGGCGAGGCCGAAAGGCGUAGUCGAUGGAUAACGGGUUAAUAUUCCCGUACCGUUAAUGGUUAGUGUUGAGGGACGGAGAAGGCUAGACCAGCCGGAUGGUGGUUACCGGUUUAAGUGAACAAAGUGAUGAGAGGUGGUGAAAACACCUUGAGCUGAGACACGAUGAAGAGGUACUAUGGGUACUAUUUAUAGUUCCACGAGUAGUACUGAACUGGUUGAUGUCAUGCUUCCAAGAAAAGCUCAAAACACGUUAAGCCAUUAAUGCUUGUACCCAAAACCGACACAGGUGGGUAAGUAGAGAAUACUAAGGGGAGCGAGAGAACUCUCUCUAAGGAACUCGGCAAAAUAGCCCCGUAACUUCGGGAGAAGGGGUGCCCUUUUAAUAAGGGUCGCAGUGAUCAGGCCCAGGCGACUGUUUAUCAAAAACACAGGUCUCCGCCAAUUCGUAAGAUGAUGUAUGGAGGCUGACGCCUGCCCAGUGCCGGAAGGUUAAGGAAGUUGGUCAGCCGUAAGGUGAAGCUGGCAACCGAAGCCCCGGUGAACGGCGGCCGUAACUAUAACGGUCCUAAGGUAGCGAAAUUCCUUGUCGGGUAAGUUCCGACCCGCACGAAAGGCGUAACGAUCUGGGCACUGUCUCGGAGAGAGACUCGGCGAAAUAGACAUGUCUGUGAAGAUGCGGACUACCUGCACCAGGACAGAAAGACCCUAUGAAGCUUUACUGUAGCCUGAUAUUGGGUUCGGGCUCUUCUUGCGCAGUAUAGGUGGGAGGCUAAGAAAGUUUCUUCGUGGAGAGACUGGAGCCAACAGUGAGAUACCACUCUGGAAGAGCUAGAAUUCUAACUUUAAGCCGUUAUCCGGCUAAAGAACAGUGUCAGGUGGGCAGUUUGACUGGGGCGGUCGCCUCCUAAAAAGUAACGGAGGCGCGCAAAGGUUCCCUCAGGCUGGACAGAAAUCAGCCUUAGAGUGUAAAGGCAGAAGGGAGCUUGACUGUAAGACCCACAAGUCGAACAGGAACGAAAGUUGGCCUUAGUGAUCCGACGGUACCGAGUGGAAGGGCCGUCGCUCAACGGAUAAAAGUUACUCUAGGGAUAACAGGCUGAUCUCCCCCAAGAGUCCACAUCGACGGGGAGGUUUGGCACCUCGAUGUCGGCUCAUCGCAACCUGGGGCGGAAGUACGUCCCAAGGGUUGGGCUGUUCGCCCAUUAAAGCGGUACGUGAGCUGGGUUCAGAACGUCGUGAGACAGUUCGGUCCAUAUCCGGUGCAGGCGUUAGAGCAUUGAGAGGAGCUCUCCCUUGUACGAGAGGAUCGGGAGGGACACACCGCUGGUGUAUCAGUUAUCGUGCCAACGGUAAACGCUGGGUAGCCAUGUGUGGAUAGGAUAACCGCUGAAAGCAUCUAAGCGGGAAGCC
This 2820-nucleotide ribosomal RNA is filed under the name Glaucocystis sp. BBH. RNAcentral's name for it is "23S ribosomal RNA". It matches the Rfam family "Bacterial large subunit ribosomal RNA". Lineage: Eukaryota; Glaucocystophyceae; Glaucocystales; Glaucocystaceae. The record is from RNAcentral.